Acanthosepion pharaonis is the source of this 113-nucleotide non-coding RNA. The record is from the annotation of a GenBank genome assembly. NCBI's taxonomy places the organism in Eukaryota, Metazoa, Mollusca, Cephalopoda, Sepiida, Sepiidae.
UACAACCAUAUCACGCUGGAACACCAGUUUUUGUCUGGUCACCAAAGUUAAGCAAUGUUAAGCCUGGUCAGUACCUAGAUGGGUGACUGUUUGGGAAGACCAGAUGCUGCAAG